RNAcentral lists this transfer RNA (61 nucleotides) under Macrohectopus branickii. Its description in RNAcentral is "tRNA-Tyr". The record is from RNAcentral. Lineage: Eukaryota; Metazoa; Arthropoda; Malacostraca; Amphipoda; Macrohectopidae.
AACUGACGUAGUGUAGAAAACGCAAUAAGUUGUAACCUUAGAGAGGCUAAUGCCGCAGUUU